Molecule: ribosomal RNA, 253 nt
Filed under: uncultured bacterium
Lineage: Bacteria
Description: partial 16S ribosomal RNA
Rfam family: Bacterial small subunit ribosomal RNA
Source: RNAcentral
UACGUAGGGGGCGAGCGUUGUCCGGAAUCAUUGGGCGUAAAGCGCGUGUAGGCGGCCCGGUAAGUCCGCUGUGAAAGUCCAGGGCUCAACCCUGGGAUGCCGGUGGAUACUGUCGGGCUCGAGUCCGGAAGAGGCGAGUGGAAUUCCUGGUGUAGCGGUGAAAUGCGCAGAUAUCAGGAGGAACACCAAUGGCGAAGGCAGCUCGCGGGGACGGUACUGACGCUGAGGUGCGAAAGCGUGGGGAGCAAACAGG